This is a long non-coding RNA of Patella vulgata (common limpet), 409 nucleotides long. RefSeq lists it as uncharacterized. The record is from RefSeq and is a predicted model, not a curated record. NCBI's taxonomy places the organism in Eukaryota, Metazoa, Mollusca, Gastropoda, Patellidae. The transcript is spliced from 4 exons.
GGUCAACUAUCAACAUCUCUACUUAAUUACAGCACAAUUAAUCAUUUAUUUCAAGUUUUCCUAAUUGUGUUAUCUAUAAAGUUUACAACUCUAUGGUCACAUUUAUUUUCCUGGAAAACACCUGUCUUAGGUGUUGUUUUUGUUGUUCUGUAAAAUAUUAUAUUGUCCUGUAAUAAACUGUUGUUCACUGGUCUCAACUGUUCUGUGCAACCCCGACCUGGAGUCGAUCAUGCGAUCCUCCUGCUACACAAAGAAUGGGAGGAAAGUGUGCUAGAAUGGAAGAUAGCAGAAUAAAAAUAUGUCCCUUCUUUGCCAUCCACCAUAAACGAGUUUACCACAACAGUGAUAUAAACCAAGGGUGGCAAAAAUGUAACCAGACCCUGUUUCACAGAUUAUUUUAAUAUCAAGA